This 395-nucleotide ribosomal RNA is filed under the name uncultured bacterium. RNAcentral describes it as "partial 16S ribosomal RNA". It matches the Rfam family "Bacterial small subunit ribosomal RNA", at positions 523 to 918 of the family's 1533-position model. The record is from RNAcentral.
AUACGUAGGGUGCAAGCGUUAAUCGGAAUUACUGGGCGUAAAGCGUGCGCAGGCGGUUUUGUAAGACAGAGGUGAAAUCCCCGGGCUCAACCUGGGAACUGCCUUUGUGACUGCAAGGCUAGAGGACCGCAGAAGGGGGUGGAAUUCCGCGUGUAGCAGUGAAAUGCGUAGAUAUGCGGAGGAACACCGAUGGCGAAGGCAAUCCCCUGGGCCUGUACUGACGCUCAUGCACGAAAGCGUGGGGAGCAAACAGGAUUAGAUACCCUGGUAGUCCACGCCCUAAACGAUGUCAACUGGUUGUUGGGUCUUCAUUGACUCAGUAACGAAGCUAACGCGUGAAGUUGACCGCCUGGGGAGUACGGCCGCAAGGUUAAAACUCAAAUGAAUUGACGGGG